GCUGGGAUAGCUCAGCUAGUAGAGCAAAAGACCCUUAAUCUCAGAGUCAUGGGUUGGAGCCCCACUCUGGGCA
Non-coding RNA from Podarcis lilfordi (Lilford's wall lizard), 73 nucleotides. The record is from the annotation of a GenBank genome assembly. NCBI's taxonomy places the organism in Eukaryota, Metazoa, Chordata, Lepidosauria, Squamata, Lacertidae.